GUGAGUCAUCGAAUCUUUGAACGCACAUUGCGCCCGCUAGUAUUCUGGCGGGCAUGCCUGUUCGAGCGUCAUUUCAACCAUCAAGCCCCAGGCUUGUGUUGGGGCCCUGCGGCCACCCGCAGCCCCCGAAAAGCAGUGGCGGGCUCGCUGUCACACCGAGCGCAGUAGUAUAUCUUCGCUAGGACGUGGUCGCGGGUUCCAGCCGUUAAACACCCCAAUUUAUCAAGGUUGACCUCGGAUCAGGUAGGAAUACCCGCUGAACUUAAGCAUAUCAAUAAGCGGAGGA
This 286-nucleotide unclassified non-coding RNA is filed under the name Zopfiella sp. RNAcentral's name for it is "partial contains 5.8S ribosomal RNA, internal transcribed spacer 2, and large subunit ribosomal RNA". The stretch from base 1 to 71 matches the Rfam family "5.8S ribosomal RNA", at positions 84 to 154 of the family's 154-position model. Lineage: Eukaryota; Fungi; Ascomycota; Sordariomycetes; Sordariales; Chaetomiaceae. The record is from RNAcentral.